RNAcentral lists this ribosomal RNA (253 nucleotides) under uncultured bacterium. RNAcentral's name for it is "partial 16S ribosomal RNA". It matches the Rfam family "Bacterial small subunit ribosomal RNA", at positions 524 to 776 of the family's 1533-position model. The record is from RNAcentral.
UACGGAGGGUGCAAGCGUUGCUCGGAAUUAUUGGGCGUAAAGGGCAGGUAGGUGGUCUCAUUUGUCGGGGGUGAAAGCCUUGGGCUUAACCCAAGAAGUGCCCCCGAAACGGUGAGACUGGAGUCCUGGAGAGGGUCGUGGAAUUCCCGGUGUAGCGGUGAAAUGCGUAGAGAUCGGGAGGAACACCAGAGGCGAAGGCGGCGACCUGGACAGGAACUGACACUAAACUGCGAAAGCGUGGGGAGCAAACAGG